AGCAGUAGGACCAAAUGCUGCAUUAGUCAGCAUAAUACUGUAUAUAUGUUUGUGGCAGUGCAGAAGAGAGUCCUGCACAUAAUUAGAAUUCAGCUGGUCAAAGCACCAUGAUCAGAGUGGAAACUUUCACAUUUGUGCAAUUUUUUUUUUUCUGUUAAGAUUUGAGGAGCAUAAAAAUAAAGGCUUUUGUUUUGACUUUGGUGUUAGGAUCUUGUUUGAACAUUGGUGUUCUAGGUAGCAAAUAUUUCAGGACUGUGAACGACCCUAAAAAAGACACUCGUGAUGAUGCGGGUGUUGAGUUCAGUAUUGCCAGACUCAACAAGGUUUGGGAGAAAGCAAUCCGGGUUCAGUUGGCCCCUGUAAAGCAGGCUGAGCUGCACAGUGAUCUGGAAAUUCAAGAGAAGGAUAAACUCCAGUGGAAAAAGCUGAAAGCAGAGGGCAUGGAUGAGGAAGUUAUCUUGGCCAGAUAUGGGCAAGAUGGGAAGAAAGAUACAAGGAAUUUAGAGAACAAUUUCCUAAAGGACCACUACAACACAGAUACUGAUGUUUGAGGAUCCUAGACUAGACAAACUGUGGAGCAAGGAGGAGCUGAUGCACUUUGAGACAAAGGUAGAAAAGCACAAGCAUUACCAGGAGCAGCUAGAGCUUUCACACCAGAAACUCAGACAUGUGGAGGUUUGGGAUAUGAGGAGCACAUGGUUAGAAACAAAGAGAAAUACACCAAGCUAGCUGAGAAGGCUCGAGAAAUGGAGUAUAAGGUAUGUGUUAUGUUUUUCCAUAGUGCUAAUCCCUUUUUAAUGAUGUAUAAGAAAUGUACUAUAGUUAUACAUGCAGUAUAUUGCAAAGAUAUACAGUGCCUAUAGAAAGUCUACACCCCCUUUCAAUUUUCAGCUUUUGUUACCAAAUACCUGGAAU
Polyodon spathula (Mississippi paddlefish) is the source of this 915-nucleotide long non-coding RNA. RefSeq lists it as uncharacterized. The transcript has 4 exons. The record is from RefSeq and is a predicted model, not a curated record. NCBI's taxonomy places the organism in Eukaryota, Metazoa, Chordata, Actinopteri, Acipenseriformes, Polyodontidae.